This is a non-coding RNA of Cronartium quercuum f. sp. fusiforme G11, 92 nucleotides long. The record is from the annotation of a GenBank genome assembly. Lineage: Eukaryota; Fungi; Basidiomycota; Pucciniomycetes; Pucciniales; Coleosporiaceae.
GCCCUGUUAGCUCAGUGGUAGAGCGUUCCACUCGUACUACUUGGUGCAAAGGCGACAUGGAAAGGCCUGGUGUUCAAUCCACCAAUGGGGCA